This 169-nucleotide ribosomal RNA is filed under the name uncultured Clostridia bacterium. RNAcentral describes it as "partial 16S ribosomal RNA". It matches the Rfam family "Bacterial small subunit ribosomal RNA", at positions 339 to 525 of the family's 1533-position model. Lineage: Bacteria; Bacillati; Bacillota; Clostridia. The record is from RNAcentral.
CUACGGGAGACAGCAGUAGGGAAUUUUCCGCAAUGGGGGAAACCCUGACGGAGCAACGCCGCGUGAGGGAAGAAGGUUUUCGGAUCGUAAACCUUUGUCAACGAGGACGAUAAUGACGGUACUCGCUGAGGAAGCCCCGGCUAACUACGUGCCAGCAGCCGCGGUAAUA